Triticum urartu is the source of this 115-nucleotide non-coding RNA. The record is from Rfam. NCBI's taxonomy places the organism in Eukaryota, Viridiplantae, Streptophyta, Magnoliopsida, Poales, Poaceae.
CUCGUACUCCCUCCGUUCGGAAUUACUUGUCACAGAAAUGGAUGUAUCUAGACGUAUUUUAGUUCUAGAUACAUUCAUUUCCGAGACAAGUAAUUCCGAACGGAGGGAGUAGUUC